UGCAGUCGUACGAGAGUUUUUACUCUAGUGGCGGACGGGUGAGUAACACGUGAGAAUUUACCUUUAGGAGGGGGAUAACAGCGUAUCAAUAGAUAUUACGGAAACGGCUGCUAAUACCCCAUAUGCUUGAGUGAAAUAGAUUUCUCUGCCUAAAGAGAAGCUCGCGGCUGAUUAGCUUGUUGGUAAGGUAAUGGCUUACCAAGGCGACGAUCAGUAUCUGGUUUGAGAGGACGAUCAGACACACUGGAACUGAGACACGGUCCAGACUCCUACGGGAGGCAGCAGUGGGGAAUUUUCCGCAAUGGGCGAAAGCCUGACGGAGCAAUACCGCGUGAGGGAAGACGGCCUAUGGGUUGUAAACCUCUUUUUUCAGGGAGGAAUUCAAUGACGUGUACCUGAGGAAUAAGCAUCGGCUAACUCCGUGCCAGCAGCCGCGGUAAUACG
RNAcentral lists this ribosomal RNA (444 nucleotides) under uncultured organism. RNAcentral describes it as "bacterial SSU rRNA". It matches the Rfam family "Bacterial small subunit ribosomal RNA", at positions 56 to 527 of the family's 1533-position model. The record is from RNAcentral.